RNAcentral lists this long non-coding RNA (338 nucleotides) under Trifolium pratense (red clover). RNAcentral describes it as "long non-coding RNA (TPRA_LNC002709)". Lineage: Eukaryota; Viridiplantae; Streptophyta; Magnoliopsida; Fabales; Fabaceae. The record is from RNAcentral.
UUGACAAGACAAAUGAUACCUAAUAAAAACCUAUAAAUAAUUUAUUUUUGCCACAAGAGAAUAAAACUCUACGCUUAAUUAAAGCUGGUAACUUGUUCUUGUUUCUGAUUCCAUCAACAAUAUAAAAAUAAACCAACAAUCCUGAAAACAAAACAAUUUAAUUAUCCACCUUGUAAAAACAAAAUUAACCAAACCGAAUGUAAAAUGAAAGUUACUAACUUGUAGCUUUAUUUACAUAACCGGUGAGGCGAAAGUUGUUCAGAAAACUCCGCCUGCGAUGGAAGGCAGGUCAUCAAAGCUCCAAAGGUUCAUUGUGUUUCCAGCAUCCUGAGUUACAU